CACGGUAAACGAUGGAUGCCCGCUGUUUGCGAUAUACUGUGAGCGGCCAAGCGAAAGCGUUAAGCAUCCCACCUGGGGAGUACGCCGGCAACGGUGAAACUCAAAGGAAUUGACGGGGGCCCGCACAAGCGGAGGAACAUGUGGUUUAAUUCGAUGAUACGCGAGGAACCUUACCCGGGCUUGAACUGCAGCAGACGGAUACAGAGAUGUUGACUCCCUUCGGGGCUGCUGUGGAGGUGCUGCAUGGUUGUCGUCAGCUCGUGCCGUGAGGUGUCGGCUUAAGUGCCAUAACGAGCGCAACCCCUGCUGUCAGUUGCCAUCAGGUUAUGCUGGGCACUCUGGCAGGACUGCCACCGUAAGGUGUGAGGAAGGUGGGGAUGACGUCAAAUCAGCACGGCCCUUACGUCCGGGGCUACACACGUGUUACAAUGGGUGAUACAGAGAGCAGGUGCAUGGCAAUAUGCAUCGAAUCAUGAAAGUCAUCCUCAGUUCGGAUUGGGGUCUGCAACCCGACC
Molecule: ribosomal RNA, 515 nt
Filed under: uncultured bacterium
Lineage: Bacteria
Description: bacterial SSU rRNA
Rfam family: Bacterial small subunit ribosomal RNA
Source: RNAcentral